RNAcentral lists this ribosomal RNA (466 nucleotides) under uncultured bacterium. RNAcentral describes it as "partial 16S ribosomal RNA". It matches the Rfam family "Bacterial small subunit ribosomal RNA", at positions 28 to 506 of the family's 1533-position model. The record is from RNAcentral.
GACGAACGCUGGCGGCGUGCUUAACACAUGCAAGUCGAACGGAAAGGCUCCAGCUUGCUGGAGUACUCGAGUGGCGAACGGGUGAGUAACACGUGGGUAAUCUGCCCUGCACUCUGGGAUAAGCCUGGGAAACUGGGUCUAAUACUGGAUAUGACCUUUCUCCUUAUGGGGUUUGGUGGGAAGUUUUUCGGUGUAGGAUGAGCCCGCGGCCUAUCAGCUUGUUGGUGGGGUGAUGGCCUACCAAGGCGACGACGGGUAGCCGGCCUGAGAGGGUGAUCGGCCACAUUGGGACUGAGAUACGGCCCAGACUCCUACGGGAGGCAGCAGUGGGGAAUAUUGCACAAUGGGCGGAAGCCUGAUGCAGCGACGCCGCGUGAGGGAUGACGGCCUUCGGGUUGUAAACCUCUUUCAGCAGGGACGAAGCGUAAGUGACGGUACCUGCAGAAGAAGCACCGGCUAACUAUGU